This is a long non-coding RNA of Triticum dicoccoides, 1915 nucleotides long. RefSeq lists it as uncharacterized. The record is from RefSeq and is a predicted model, not a curated record. The transcript has 5 exons. NCBI's taxonomy places the organism in Eukaryota, Viridiplantae, Streptophyta, Magnoliopsida, Poales, Poaceae.
AAUUUGUUUGCGUAAUCCACGGAAUUCCCCCAUCCCCGGCCGCCGGUAACUCCGUUCUGGGUCGCAGAUUUCCACUUAGGUAGGAGUUAGCCGAUAGUUUGGAAGAUGCAGACCCGAUGCCUUUAGCGCUGUUGUCGAGGCUUGAGGGACAGCCAUAGUCGCCGGCGAAUCAAAACUGCGGGCCUGGGCCGCCUGGCAAUUAGGCGACGGCAGCCCUAGGAGGUCCGAAUGUGAGAUCCGGCGAAGGAAGAAUGAUUCGCCGACAUUUCUGCACAAUCCUCGGGGAAGGUCAAACCGGAUGCCCCUAGGUGCACGAGAUAAUGCAGAGUUUUUUUUCUCAGUUCAACGUGGCCAUCAUUUUGCUCGGCAACUAAGAAUGUUCAGAAGGCAGGUGGCAUGGUUGAAUAUUGCAGUUGAGGCUAGACAGUGCCGCCCACCCACCCACACAAUAGAAGCCCAUGUGCCUCACGGAUGAGUGGCCUCAAGCAAUCUAUCCGCAAAUUUACAGAAGAACCUACUAAGAGUGUGGUGAAACCAGAACUUGGUUUGAGUUUCGACUAGUUGGGUGAGGCGUAUGACUUUGACAACUUUUGUUCAGCGGAGGUUGGCUUUGGGAUAUGGUAUGGCAAGAGUAGACUGCAUCCUGAGAGAACCAAUUUAGUGCAAGAGAUCGUGUAUGGCUCUUUGGUGAGAGAUAUUUGUGUUCAUCUGAAUUUUGUUUUCGAUGACAGUGCUUUCUGACGGAGGGAUUAACAUGGAUUAUUUAUUAUGUGGACUUGAUGUGCACGGACGAGCAAGUAGAAAGUUUUGAGUGGGUGUUUGCACAAUUUCUUAUUAUGAUGGGUGGACCUGCUCCAAAAACAAUACUCAUAGGUUUUGCACUGUACUAACUUGGGGCGGCAAUAUUCAUUUCUGGUUUUCUUGCAUUUGAUAUAGCUGACUAGUUGUUUUUGACAGUCUUUGCAGACUAUAUCAUAGCUAAGCCGGCCAUUGCCAAAGUGUAUCCACACAGUGUGCACAGAUGGUGCAAAUGGCACAUACUGAGAAAGCAAAGGAGUGUCUGGGUCCGUUGUGCAUGAAGAAGAAUGAGUUCAGACCUGAGUUUCACAAGGUUGUGAACCACAUGUUGAUGAUCGACGAGUUUGAGGCUGCUUCAGGCAGGAGCACUAUAAAAAGGAUGGUACAACCAGCCAGUUGGUUCUCAAAACUUUGUUCAGAACAGAGCAGGUAGAGCGUGCAUGGCUCCCGCGGCAGUCGUUGGUGAAGCAAGUGGUAAGAUAACGACGACGGGUGAAGUUUCAGAAGAAAAAAAAAGACGACGGGUGGCACUGAGCAGCGUAGGGGCGAUGUCACUGAGGACGGCCAUGAAGCCGGAGGCGUGGACCACGACCGGCGAGGAGGGUGAAGAGCAGUGGGAUCAAUACGAGCGUGAGGUGUUGGAGUUUGAGGAGGAAGCAUGGAAGACCUCCGCAAAAGGCGGGGAAUCUAGCACGGUCAAGCUGGCGGGUGAGGAGAGCUCGAUCCAGCCGGCGCAGUCAUUAUCAACGAUGUACCAGCCUUCUUGAUAGCGUUGGCGGCGCUGAAAAGCUGGAGGAAUCAGAUACAGAGGAGAUGAGCAGAGGUCUGGCUAAGCGAGGGCGAAUUGAACCAUAGAUGGACUUUGAUGUUGGGGAGAUAGCAACGUUGCCACUGACCAUUUUGGAUGGCACGUACGUUGUGUACUGAUUUGUUUUUCCGAUUAGUUGUUUACUGAUUCGUGACACCCUUGUGCGUGAAAGAAAUUUGUUGGGAGCAGGCUGUUCAAACUAAAGGAAUCCAAAAUCCCUAGCCUUUUGUAAACUGUUGUACAGCCAGAAACUUAAUGGCCCAUGGUUGAAAUGGCGUGGAAUGUUAAUUUGUGCAUGUAUGUUUAUCA